RNAcentral lists this ribosomal RNA (2931 nucleotides) under Escherichia coli. RNAcentral describes it as "23S ribosomal RNA". It matches the Rfam family "Bacterial large subunit ribosomal RNA". Lineage: Bacteria; Pseudomonadati; Pseudomonadota; Gammaproteobacteria; Enterobacterales; Enterobacteriaceae. The record is from RNAcentral.
GGGUUGUGAGGUUAAGCGACUAAGCGUACACGGUGGAUGCCCUGGCAGUCAGAGGCGAUGAAGGACGUGCUAAUCUGCGAUAAGCGUCGGUAAGGUGAUAUGAACCGUUAUAACCGGCGAUUUCCGAAUGGGGAAACCCAGUGUGUUUCGACACACUAUCAUUAACUGAAUCCAUAGGUUAAUGAGGCGAACCGGGGGAACUGAAACAUCUAAGUACCCCGAGGAAAAGAAAUCAACCGAGAUUCCCCCAGUAGCGGCGAGCGAACGGGGAGCAGCCCAGAGCCUGAAUCAGUGUGUGUGUUAGUGGAAGCGUCUGGAAAGGCGCGCGAUACAGGGUGACAGCCCCGUACACAAAAAUGCACAUGCUGUGAGCUCGAUGAGUAGGGCGGGACACGUGGUAUCCUGUCUGAAUAUGGGGGGACCAUCCUCCAAGGCUAAAUACUCCUGACUGACCGAUAGUGAACCAGUACCGUGAGGGAAAGGCGAAAAGAACCCCGGCGAGGGGAGUGAAAAAGAACCUGAAACCGUGUACGUACAAGCAGUGGGAGCACGCUUCGGCGUGUGACUGCGUACCUUUUGUAUAAUGGGUCAGCGACUUAUAUUCUGUAGCAAGGUUAACCGAAUAGGGGAGCCGAAGGGAAACCGAGUCUUAACUGGGCGUUAAGUUGCAGGGUAUAGACCCGAAACCCGGUGAUCUAGCCAUGGGCAGGUUGAAGGUUGGGUAACACUAACUGGAGGACCGAACCGACUAAUGUUGAAAAAUUAGCGGAUGACUUGUGGCUGGGGGUGAAAGGCCAAUCAAACCGGGAGAUAGCUGGUUCUCCCCGAAAGCUAUUUAGGUAGCGCCUCGUGAAUUCAUCUCCGGGGGUAGAGCACUGUUUCGGCAAGGGGGUCAUCCCGACUUACCAACCCGAUGCAAACUGCGAAUACCGGAGAAUGUUAUCACGGGAGACACACGGCGGGUGCUAACGUCCGUCGUGAAGAGGGAAACAACCCAGACCGCCAGCUAAGGUCCCAAAGUCAUGGUUAAGUGGGAAACGAUGUGGGAAGGCCCAGACAGCCAGGAUGUUGGCUUAGAAGCAGCCAUCAUUUAAAGAAAGCGUAAUAGCUCACUGGUCGAGUCGGCCUGCGCGGAAGAUGUAACGGGGCUAAACCAUGCACCGAAGCUGCGGCAGCGACGCUGAUGCGUUGUUGGGUAGGGGAGCGUUCUGUAAGCCUGCGAAGGUGUGCUGUGAGGCAUGCUGGAGGUAUCAGAAGUGCGAAUGCUGACAUAAGUAACGAUAAAGCGGGUGAAAAGCCCGCUCGCCGGAAGACCAAGGGUUCCUGUCCAACGUUAAUCGGGGCAGGGUGAGUCGACCCCUAAGGCGAGGCCGAAAGGCGUAGUCGAUGGGAAACAGGUUAAUAUUCCUGUACUUGGUGUUACUGCGAAGGGGGGACGGAGAAGGCUAUGUUGGCCGGGCGACGGUUGUCCCGGUUUAAGCGUGUAGGCUGGUUUUCCAGGCAAAUCCGGAAAAUCAAGGCUGAGGCGUGAUGACGAGGCACUACGGUGCUGAAGCAACAAAUGCCCUGCUUCCAGGAAAAGCCUCUAAGCAUCAGGUAACAUCAAAUCGUACCCCAAACCGACACAGGUGGUCAGGUAGAGAAUACCAAGGCGCUUGAGAGAACUCGGGUGAAGGAACUAGGCAAAAUGGUGCCGUAACUUCGGGAGAAGGCACGCUGAUAUGUAGGUGAAGUCCCUCGCGGAUGGAGCUGAAAUCAGUCGAAGAUACCAGCUGGCUGCAACUGUUUAUUAAAAACACAGCACUGUGCAAACACGAAAGUGGACGUAUACGGUGUGACGCCUGCCCGGUGCCGGAAGGUUAAUUGAUGGGGUCAGCGCAAGCGAAGCUCUUGAUCGAAGCCCCGGUAAACGGCGGCCGUAACUAUAACGGUCCUAAGGUAGCGAAAUUCCUUGUCGGGUAAGUUCCGACCUGCACGAAUGGCGUAAUGAUGGCCAGGCUGUCUCCACCCGAGACUCAGUGAAAUUGAACUCGCUGUGAAGAUGCAGUGUACCCGCGGCAAGACGGAAAGACCCCGUGAACCUUUACUAUAGCUUGACACUGAACAUUGAGCCUUGAUGUGUAGGAUAGGUGGGAGGCUUGGAAGUGUGGACGCCAGUCUGCAUGGAGCCGACCUUGAAAUACCACCCUUUAAUGUUUGAUGUUCUAACGUUGACCCGUAAUCCGGGUUGCGGACAGUGUCUGGUGGGUAGUUUGACUGGGGCGGUCUCCUCCUAAAGAGUAACGGAGGAGCACGAAGGUUGGCUAAUCCUGGUCGGACAUCAGGAGGUUAGUGCAAUGGCAUAAGCCAGCUUGACUGCGAGCGUGACGGCGCGAGCAGGUGCGAAAGCAGGUCAUAGUGAUCCGGUGGUUCUGAAUGGAAGGGCCAUCGCUCAACGGAUAAAAGGUACUCCGGGGAUAACAGGCUGAUACCGCCCAAGAGUUCAUAUCGACGGCGGUGUUUGGCACCUCGAUGUCGGCUCAUCACAUCCUGGGGCUGAAGUAGGUCCCAAGGGUAUGGCUGUUCGCCAUUUAAAGUGGUACGCGAGCUGGGUUUAGAACGUCGUGAGACAGUUCGGUCCCUAUCUGCCGUGGGCGCUGGAGAACUGAGGGGGGCUGCUCCUAGUACGAGAGGACCGGAGUGGACGCAUCACUGGUGUUCGGGUUGUCAUGCCAAUGGCACUGCCCGGUAGCUAAAUGCGGAAGAGAUAAGUGCUGAAAGCAUCUAAGCACGAAACUUGCCCCGAGAUGAGUUCUCCCUGACUCCUUGAGAGUCCUGAAGGAACGUUGAAGACGACGACGUUGAUAGGCCGGGUGUGUAAGCGCAGCGAUGCGUUGAGCUAACCGGUACUAAUGAACCGUGAGGCUUAACCUUACAACGCCGAAGGUGUUU